RNAcentral lists this transfer-messenger RNA (345 nucleotides) under Allolucifera butyrica. RNAcentral's name for it is "Lucifera butyrica Standard tmRNA". It matches the Rfam family "transfer-messenger RNA". From Rfam's summary of the family: Bacterial tmRNA, also known as 10Sa RNA or SsrA, is named for its dual tRNA and mRNA-like properties. The record is from Rfam by way of RNAcentral. Lineage: Bacteria; Bacillati; Bacillota; Negativicutes; Veillonellales; Veillonellaceae.
GGGGGCGUACUGGUUUCGACAGGGGUAGUUGUGGCAUGGGUAGCGAGCCGGGGUUCCAUCAGCCCGUCAAUACGGUGGAAAACAAGUAAACGCAAACGAAGAUUACGCUUUAGCAGCUUAGCUAACGUCCUGCCUGCGCAUUCCUGCGGCCUAGGAUAGGGCGUCACUUAGCAGGAUACCUGAGACCUUAUUCUCGGCGGGCCGACUGGGAAACUUUAUCGAGAUAGCAAAUGAGCAGCCUGUCUGUGGGCGGCGAGUGAGCGAAAUUUAAAACGCAGAAUGCGCUCGGAGAAGCCUGUGUAAUGAUACCUUUGGACAGGAGUUCGAUUCUCCUCGCCUCCACCA